Molecule: non-coding RNA, 468 nt
Organism: Paramuricea clavata
Lineage: Eukaryota; Metazoa; Cnidaria; Anthozoa; Malacalcyonacea; Plexauridae
Source: the annotation of a GenBank genome assembly
CGACAGUUUAGAAAAAGAAUUUUUAAAGAUGUGUCACAUAAAAUUGAUUGGAACUGACGAAUAAAGUACAGUGUGUGAAGAGACUAGUGAGAGAAAUGUGUAUUUUUGGUAUGUAUACACCAUUUGCGGAAUUAUAUUGGAGCGCGUAGCAUUAUGCGCGCAUAGCUUCGACUAUAUUCCUUGUCAUUUGACACUUGAAAUAAAACAAAUAUCUAUAUUUACUGAAACCUCGGUAAAAUAGCUUUUUGUGACCCCUUUGACCGCUCGUCAGUUUUUAGGUCUCAAAACCACGCUAUUUCCCUCGGUCUCGGUAAAUACAUGUAAAUUAUAAAUAAUGAAUGAAUUGAUGAAUUAAUUAAUGAAUCAAUUUUUGAAAAAUUGCAUGUUAGAAAACACUUAGCACGUAAUUCUAUAAUUUUAAUAGUUAGAUGUAUUCGAUGACUUUCUGCAGUUUCCCAUUAGACCAAU